Prunus avium (sweet cherry) is the source of this 532-nucleotide long non-coding RNA. RefSeq lists it as uncharacterized. Lineage: Eukaryota; Viridiplantae; Streptophyta; Magnoliopsida; Rosales; Rosaceae. The record is from RefSeq and is a predicted model, not a curated record.
UUUUGUUUCUUUCAGAGCAAAGAACAGAUAAACCCUGGUGUAAUCGGAGUCUGCGCCACUUUUCAGAGAAAAAGAACACCUUUUUUUCAGCCAGAAAACUAUGGAUCUCCUCUUUUUCUUACGGUCUCUAUUGAUUUUGUUUCCCUAUUUUUGCAGAUCUUUUCUUCUUUUUGUCCAAUUUUUGCACUCUAUUUCCUCUUUUUUUUCCUUGUUAAUUCCUCGAUUUUGUUUUGGAUGAAGACUUAUGUGAGAUCUCAUCCCAGGCUACAACUCCUCUUCUCCAAGUUUGAAAAGGAUGCAAACUGUUGGAAAUCCCUCGUUAGUGGAGUGAAAAGGUGUAGCUGGUGUUGAUUGGCAGCAAUAAUUCUUCUCCAUUUCGAUGUGCACUGUGUGCAUGUGUGUGUGCUUGUGUCGCACCAAAGAGACACAGAGAGAAGAGAAUUUAAUUGAGACUUGUUGUCAUCUGUAACCUGUUUGUACCUUGAACUGACGAAAUUAUGUUAAUGAAAAUUUCAUUCAUUUCAAAAAGUUA